CCAGAGUUCUAGUCUUCAGAGAAAGCUCUCCUGAAUACAAAAGGGCAGAACCAAGAAGAAAAGUCCCGUAAAGAUGAUGGUGACUCUGUAGAGUCUCUGAGCCAAGGUGAAGCUCUACCUAUGCCUGGUAAUUGUGAGACGGUGAGGGAAAGCCCUGGAGUAUUCAGUUCCAAACGCUACCCAGCAGUUCUCAGAAGGGCACAAAGGAUCGCCGUGAAUGUCACAUUGAGUCGGCUCCAGCUGCACCUGCUGGCAGCCCCAGCC
Molecule: long non-coding RNA, 264 nt
Filed under: Fukomys damarensis (Damara mole-rat)
Lineage: Eukaryota; Metazoa; Chordata; Mammalia; Rodentia; Bathyergidae
Description: lncRNA (ENSFDAG00000022316.1)
Source: RNAcentral